ACUUGUACCGACUGGAUGAGCAGCGAACGGGUGAGUAACGCGUGGGGAAUCUGCCUUUGAGCGGGGGACAACAUUUGGAAACGAAUGCUAAUACCGCAUAAAAACUUUAAACACAAGUUUUAAGUUUGAAAGAUGCAAUUGCAUCACUCAAAGAUGAUCCCGCGUUGUAUUAGCUAGUUGGUGAGGUAAAGGCUCACCAAGGCGAUGAUACAUAGCCGACCUGAGAGGGUGAUCGGCCACAUUGGGACUGAGACACGGCCCAAACUCCUACGGGAGGCAGCAGUAGGGAAUCUUCGGCAAUGGACGAAAGUCUGACCGAGCAACGCCGCGUGAGUGAAGAAGGUUUUCGGAUCGUAAAACUCUGUUGGUAGAGAAGAACGUUGGUGAGAGUGGAAAGCUCAUCAAGUGACGGUAACUACCCAGAAAGGGACGGCUAACUACGUG
Molecule: ribosomal RNA, 444 nt
Filed under: uncultured bacterium
Lineage: Bacteria
Description: bacterial SSU rRNA
Rfam family: Bacterial small subunit ribosomal RNA
Source: RNAcentral